RNAcentral lists this ribosomal RNA (253 nucleotides) under uncultured bacterium. Its description in RNAcentral is "partial 16S ribosomal RNA". It matches the Rfam family "Bacterial small subunit ribosomal RNA", at positions 524 to 776 of the family's 1533-position model. The record is from RNAcentral.
UACGAACCGUCCAAACGUUAUUCGGAAUUACUGGGCUUAAAGGGUUUGUAGGCGGCCUUGUAAGUGGGGUGUGAAAUCCCUCGGCUCAACCGAGGAAUAGCGCUCCAAACUACAUGGCUUGAGGGAGACAGGGGUAAGCGGAACUGAUGGUGGAGCGGUGAAAUGCGUUGAUAUCAUCAGGAACCCCGGGGGCGAAAGCGGCUUACUGGGUCUCUUCUGACGCUGAGAAACGAAAGCUAGGGUAGCGAACGGG